CGUUCCUCAUCUCUGGGAAGCACGCAGGCAGGGUAGUGGACCAGAAAGGGCAGACUCUUAGCCUCUGGGGUGUCCAGGGGCUGGGGUUCUUGGGUAAGAGAACACCCCAAAAGCAUGUCCAUAGGAGAGCAGCACGUGUGCAGGGGUGCAGAGUAGCGUCAGGAUCUGGAGCGCUCUGCCCAAUUUCCUUCUCCAAGAGUCAUCUCGAUGUGUACGUCCACUGCCUGGUCUCCACUGUCAGCCAUUCUCAUCUUUCUUUAGAUUCUGUUUGAACUCCUCUGAAGACUCACACUGAGGACCUUCCCUAGUGGAGUUUCUGCAGUUAUUCUGACCACUUGGUUCCGGAUGUUCCCAGCCACUCUGUCCUGAGGGACUCUGCCCUGUCUCCAGCAGCCUCUGCUCUCCUACCUCUGUCACCUGCCAUGUGGCGUCACAGUAAGGUCACCUUGGCUGCCCUCGGGGGGUCAGGGCUUCUGAGUGAAGAGCUGCCGGGCUGUUCUCCUGGAGAAGGCCACGUGGGGAUGAGAUUACUUGGUCACAGACCCUCGGGAGACCCCAGCUGGGUCUGAGUCAUGCACAGAGCAGCUCCUCCACACAAUCACCAGCACAGGAUGAGGGGACAAGCCUGUCUGUGCAUCCCAGAGGAAUUUAUGGGAGAAUCCGGUCUUCUCAGAUACUGAAGAGAUUUAUCCUCGCAACUUCCAGUGUUAUUGCUAAAAAUACAAUUUCUGAGCUUUUGUGUUAAAAGUCAAAAAAUGUCACACUAGUCGUUAAGAGAAUGCCUGUGUCUUAAUACUUGGUAUGAAGGGUUUUAGUGUUAAGAGUUUUAGUGCCUGAUCUGUUCGUAUCUAAUUCUGAUUUCAGAAAAUUCAUUGAACUCUCUGAGGCCUCAGUUAUCUUUAUUUGCAAAAUGCCAAUGUGAGAGGGGACUUUUUGUCAAAUCCUUUCUGGUUCAACAGUUUUGUGAUUUUUGUCUCAAGAAGAUAUGAGUUGUUCUGCAUGUCUAGCCUAGCACCUAAAAGUCGGAAGAACAAGGUCGGGGGUAAAUGCACCCCAGGUCUACAGCCACACUGUGUAGGAGGAAGCAAAUUUAGAAGGAAACAAGCUUCAUUUAUUCUGCCUGAUAUGGUUAUCUCUGAGGCUGGUGCCCAUGCGAGUGAGAUGAGGGUACAGAGGAAGGGAGGGAACACACUGUCAAAUGUCAAAUGUGUAGCAAAGACUGUGCUUGACAAUUGAGACUUCCGGUGACUUUUGUCUUUACUUUUGCAAAACGGGAGUUAAAAGAAAACAGGAGAGAGACACAGAGACAGAAAAAGAGAGGGAGAGGGAGAGAAAGGGUAAGAGGAAGGGAAAGAAGGAGAAGGAGAACAGAAAAUGCAACUGUAAGAUCGUCAAUAUGUAGGUUUCAUGUAAAAAUUGGGCAAAUGAUAUCUAAAUCACGUACAAGAAAUCUAGGACUCUCCACUUUGGCCGACUUUAAGAAAAUCCUUAGUUAUAUCUUUAAGUGAAUGCUGGAUUUCAGGCUAUCCUGUGACCAUCAUGCUUAUCUGUAUUCUUGGAAGAAACACAGAUGAGGGCUGGGGAUUUAGCUCAGCUGUUUAAGCACUUGCUUGGUAAGUGCAAGGUCAUGAGUUCAAUCCCUGGUACCAGAAGAGAGAGAGACAGAGAGAGAGAGAGAGAGAGAGAGAGAGAGAGAGAGAGAGACAGAGAGAGAGAGAGAGAGAGAGAGAGAGAGAGAGAGAGAGGAAGAAAAAAGAAAUACAGAUGACCCAGGAGAACUGAGCCAACAGGGAAGAGGGCAUGGCCAGAGCUUCUGUUCUCAAAGGCCAGACACUUUUGGGGGGAAAAUCAGGCGUGGCCAUGAACUAGUGAGCAAUGACAGUGAAUGUAACAGCACGACUGAGGCAGGGCAGAGGUGUGUAAAGGUAAAAUGCGAGCAGAGAGAACACACACCUGUGAGUUCUGAUGGUGAGAGAAGACUGGUGGCUGCAGUGGGAAUCAAUGUUUGGAGGUGCUGUCUGCAUGUGCACAGAAAGAGAUGCAUUGUGGAGAAGAAAUCAUGAAAAAUAUUCACAUUUCAUUGUGUUGACAACAACCACCUCCUCUUCAUGUGUAGCUGACAGAGUACAUAAAAUUCUCCGUUCUGUGCCCCAUGUCUCUCCAUGGCAACCAGAAGAUACCACAAAUUCUUAUGCACAUGACUGCUGCUCGUUGAGGGCAGGGAAUUGUGGCGAUGGCGAAUUGAUGCUGAAUGGAGGCUCUUCAUCUGGUCCACGAAGCCUGCAUACACUGGCGACCAUUGGCAGAUGAUCAGGUCAACUGUGUAGGCUUCCUGUGUGAAUACAGUGCUGGGUGUGUCCCGGCCAUUUUGAGACCAUUGUUUCUGAAAUAUUUUAAUGUUUUAAAUAUUGUCAGUGGGCUUUUCUACACAGAAUGCAAAUUCUGAGGACAAGACUGCAGUCACAGAAGAGCAAGCACCUAGGGAGGGCGUCUGGGAACCAACAGGCUUGGACAAACGCUGGGCUUGCAGAUGAAAGUGAGUUAGAGCUGAGGAACUGAAGGAUUUCCAAAAAGCAGGGCCUCAUCUGAGGCUGACAAAGGACCGCUAACUAUGCUUGUUCAUUAUGCCUCCAUUUAAGGAAAUGGUGACCCUCCCAGACUGCAUGAUGGAGAAAAGUGCCCAUCACCAUUUCCCCUGGAAAUCACCUCAGAGUGAGUGCCAGGCGUGAGUGCCAGGCUAUUCCAGCAUCUCCACCCACUGGUGACACCUCCCUGCUGGGGAGGCUAGAGGUGAAGCACGGGCUGGGAGGGAGAAACGAGGGCCAUGGCUGACUUCUAAACCCCAUAUGCCUCUGUCAAGUGGACAUUUCUCCUACGUCAGCUCCCACAAGGAUUCCAAAUAGGCAGGAAAAGCACCAGUAACAAAACGCUGAAAAAGGGGUUUUCCAGUGUGCUGUGCUUUCGGGAUACCUUAUGUCAUGUGGAAAUACUUCAGUCGCCCAGAUUCUUCUCCAGAAGGUAAGAACGGAAACCUAAAGAACUGAUAUACUCCAGUGUUGUCCAAGGUACCUACAGACUGGACAUAGUGUUGGCGACUCUGAUCGUCCCAUCACUCUUUCUAUCCUAAACCCCAUAUGCCUCUGUCAAGUGGACAUUUCUCCUACGUCAGCUCCCACAAGGAUUCCAAAUAGGCGGGAAAAGCACCAGUAACAAAACGCUGAAAAAGGGGUUUUCCAGUGUGCUGUGCUUUCGGGAUACCUUAUGUCAUGUGGAAAUACUUCAGUCGCCCAGAUUCUUCUCCAGAAGGUGAGGAACCUGGAGAAGAGAAGAACAUGCCCACAAGUCUAUUUGGAAUCAUGUCAGGCCACAGAAUAACUGUUUGAUUUGGACUCCAGCAGUGGGUCCCUUCCAGGAGAGCUGGACAUUAGGGUUCUAUCUUGGAUGUGGGCUCUCAAAGUGGAGUUGACUCUCCCACUGAGUAGAUGAGCCUACAAGGCUUAAUGUAUGCCACCAAUGGCUCCUGUCUCUUGCAUGUGUGAUGAUAAUCAGCAUCUUGUUGCCUUGGAGACUGUCAGACUUGGUAUCUCUGUUUAUCUGAAGAACAUUUGGUGGUUUCUGAAAACAGAUUCUGCAGAAACACAAAUGAUGCAUGAGUUCACCCCAGCUGGUGAAACAAGAGAUGAACACCUGGGAAGCAGUGCUUUUCUCCAAGUGUCAACCCUAAGUUGGCAUAAGAUGACCCAACAGACCAGUAGCAGGAGCUAUGGGGUUUCAUCAAGCAAGACUGGCAACUUCAGUGAUAAACCUGGAAAUCCUCUGCGGAGGGCAACCCUUCGUGUUGUCAAUUAUGGGAAUUCGACAUCCCCAUCAUGCCUUUUGCUGUAAAAGAAAAUGGCAUAGAUCAUUGCUCCAAGGCCAAGCAUCAAAAAGAAAACUCCUGCAGGAGAAUCAACCAAAAGUUUCACAAAAAGGUUUAGCAGAGCAACUCACAAGCUUGUAUAAAAUAAAAUGUGUGACCACACCAUUUAUUAUCUCUGCCAGUAAAUAUUUUCUUGUGUGAUUCAAGCCUUUUCUGCAUAACACUGAGUCUGCACGCUUUGUUUUCUUUAAGCAGAAUCAAAGAAGAUACCAGCCACAAAGCUUCACCCUGUUUUCAAAGGUGCCAUUGAAAUGUUACACUUCUUAAUUGUGGCGAGAAGGAGAAGACACACCCCGAGGGAGCCAGUGCUCCACCCUCACAGGGAAACCAAAUACAUCAUGUACAUAACAAGAAAAUUGAGUCUUAACCUUUAAACUCAUCUUUGGGGUAAGCAAAACUAAACCAUUACAAAGCUGAGAAGCUGGCUUAUUUUUCUACUUUUUUCUCCUUUUUAUUUUUUUCCAGAAGACACCUGAGAAUUUAAGCUGCACACAAACAGUGUUUCCCAGGGCUUCCUCUUGGCCCGUGUUCAGUACCUCGGGUCCACAUACUUUCUCUAUCAAAGCUUCAUCAGGACCCUUUCGGUGGCCCCUGUGUUACUGUGGUUCCACAAUUCUCCAGUGAUGGCCAUUUAUCUUGUUGAGACAUCUGAGUCCCUGAGCAUCAACUGUGACUUUCAUUUUGGGUCUCUGCUUUCUGUGUAAAAAAAGAGAUUCUAAAGACACAGCUUUAUGUGGACAGGAGUGAUUUUUGUUGGCAAGGUUUCAUGCAGAAUGGCAGGGGAAAAAAAAGAAAAAAACCUAGUUGCUGGCAAAAACUGUAGUAACAUUGUGCCAUCCAAAAGCUGUGCAUGUUGCCGCUAUGUGAAUGGAUGCCUUGCUAGGAGAAAGACAGGCUGCAUUUUUACAACUUCCCGGAAAGGUGAUUCACAAAUAGGAAAAUGGGCUCUGCUUUUACAUUGACACUUUUGCCUCAACUCUCCAGCCUUUGGAGCAUAAGCUGAAUUCUGGGUGUUCAGGCCAAGUGAACAAUAUGCAGAUAGUAUCUUGCACACAGAGGUUGCUGAUUGCCUCCCUGCCCCUUCACUCUCAUGUCUGCUGAAUACUUCCAGUGUAAUGGAUGGGUGAUCACGGAAACUGUCUCCUUCAAAAUGAACAUUAAAUUGAUGGA
This is a long non-coding RNA of Cavia porcellus (domestic guinea pig), 5089 nucleotides long. RefSeq lists it as uncharacterized. The transcript is spliced from 3 exons. The record is from RefSeq and is a predicted model, not a curated record. NCBI's taxonomy places the organism in Eukaryota, Metazoa, Chordata, Mammalia, Rodentia, Caviidae.